UACGUAGGGUGCGAGCGUUAAUCGGAAUUACUGGGCGUAAAGCGUGCGCAGGCGGUUUUGUAAGCCAGAUGUGAAAUCCCCGGGCUUAACCUGGGAAUGGCAUUUGGGACUGCAAGGCUUGAGUGCGGCAGAGGAGACUGGAAUUCCUGGUGUAGCAGUGAAAUGCGUAGAUAUCAGGAGGAACACCGAUGGCGAAGGCAGGGCUCUGGGCUGACACUGACGCUCAUGCACGAAAGCGUGGGGAGCAAACAGG
This 253-nucleotide ribosomal RNA is filed under the name uncultured bacterium. Its description in RNAcentral is "partial 16S ribosomal RNA". It matches the Rfam family "Bacterial small subunit ribosomal RNA", at positions 524 to 776 of the family's 1533-position model. The record is from RNAcentral.